Molecule: long non-coding RNA, 313 nt
Organism: Varanus komodoensis (Komodo dragon)
Lineage: Eukaryota; Metazoa; Chordata; Lepidosauria; Squamata; Varanidae
Exons: 3
Source: RefSeq, a predicted model, not a curated record
AACAGACAGAAACAUACAUUUGAAGUACUUUAACUCUGCUACGGGAUCUUCUAAAACCACAUUAGAUGGAGUAUAAUCAGGAACACAGUGAUAUUGCCAUUUCUACACUUCAAGUUCAGGUGGACGAUGUGAAAAAUAUCAUGACACAUAAUAUUGAAAAAGUUUUGGAAAGAGGGGAACAACUGAGUGAACUGGCAAAUCGAAGUGAUGAUCUCGAAACUGCGGCUCAUGGUUUCCAAAAAACUACUGCAAAGAUUGCAAGGAAGAUGUGGUGGAGAAACACUAAAAUGAUCAUAAUUAUUGUAGUAAUUGU